GAGGCGGGCGGGGGGACACCCCUCACCGCCUCACACCGGCCGGUCCGGCCCGGCUCCCUCGGCGCUGCAAAAGUCGAUAGGCGCGGGGAGAAGUGAAGAUGGGCCCAAGGAAUUCUGGUUGUGCUGUUUGAUGCUUGCCAUGUUCACCAAUAGCAGCAUCUCAACCCAGUCUUGAUGCUCAAGUUCCAGAGCAUCUGUUAGACCUUCUCCCAGUCAGAAGACUACAAAGGAAACAAAGAACAACUUUGAAAUAAAUAAAUGCUCUUUGAAUUUCUAUCCCCUUAA
This 285-nucleotide long non-coding RNA is filed under the name Cyanistes caeruleus (blue tit). RNAcentral's name for it is "lncRNA (ENSCCEG00000009335.1)". The record is from RNAcentral. Lineage: Eukaryota; Metazoa; Chordata; Aves; Passeriformes; Paridae.